This is a long non-coding RNA of Xenopus tropicalis (tropical clawed frog), 882 nucleotides long. RefSeq lists it as uncharacterized. NCBI's taxonomy places the organism in Eukaryota, Metazoa, Chordata, Amphibia, Anura, Pipidae. The record is from RefSeq and is a predicted model, not a curated record. The transcript has 3 exons.
GCUGACUGGUGGCCAACAAAUGAGUAAAGAUCUAAAAAGAGUAACACAACUUAAUGCCUUUGGCGAAACAGCUACAGGUGAAAGGUAGAGUUUGUAACCAGCCAAUGCAAAUACACUGAUUAUGAUGACAGCACCUCCUAUUAGAUCAUAAACACUUGGAAACAUGCGCAGGACAAGAAGCUGAAGGACCAUGGCGACUACAAUUUCUAAGUGCUGGACAGUGCUUACCAAGGCUGGGUGGAAUUUAUACAAUGCAUAAUAAACACCAAGGAAUGCCACAGUGGAACACAAGCAGAUAGCUAUAAGCAAGGACUUGGUACUCCUGCUACUGGGAACAUCAGGUCUGAGAGACACUUCAGCCUAACAACAGGAAAUCUGUGGCCACUUGUUUAGAUGUGGUUACAAAAACAUCACAUUUAUUAAGAAGACAAGUAAGUAAAGCCUCAUCUAGAAUGAAAAGCGAUCUGUCGGUGGGCACCUAUCCUUACUGGUUUCAUUUUUUUAUGAACACCUAAGCAGAUCGCCUAUUAGCCUAUCGGUCUAUCAGUGGGCACCUAUCCUUACAGGUUUCAUUGUUUAAACAUCAACAAAGAAAGGAACAACACUCCACUUCAAUUCUUCUUGCACAAAAACUUCACGACUUUUUAUUCAUAUCAGUGCUUACUCUCAUUGUUGGAGCUGAGCAAACAUUGUGCACCUUCUUAUAGGCUUUAAAAAAUAUUUUUUUUGUUUUUCGAUAAUUUUAUAAGAAAGGGGACACAUUUUUGAUUUAACCACGGCAGUUGUCAGUGGAUUGUAUGUAUGGCCAUUCAGCACUACUGGGAUCCACAGUAACUUAGACCAGUGCUGUCCAACUUCUACGGUGCCGAGGGCCGGAAUUUC